AUUGAACGCUGGCGGCAUGCCUUACACAUGCAAGUCGAACGGCAGCACGGGUGCUUGCACCUGGUGGCGAGUGGCGAACGGGUGAGUAAUACAUCGGAACAUGUCCUGUAGUGGGGGAUAGCCCGGCGAAAGCCGGAUUAAUACCGCAUACGAUCUACGGAUGAAAGCGGGGGACCUUCGGGCCUCGCGCUAUAGGGUUGGCCGAUGGCUGAUUAGCUAGUUGGGGGGUUAAAGGCCUACCAAGGCGACGAUCAGUAGCUGGUCUGAGAGGACGACCAGCAACACUGGGACUGAGACACGGCCCAGACUCCUACGGGAGGCAGCAGUGGGGAAUUUUGGACAAUGGGCGAAAGCCUGAUCCAGCAAUGCCGCGUGUGUGAAGAAGGCCUUCGGGUUGUAAAGCACUUUUGUCCGGAAAGAAAUCCUUGGCCCUAAUACGGUCGGGGGAUGACGGUACCGGAAGAAUAAGCACCGGCUAACUACGUG
RNAcentral lists this ribosomal RNA (486 nucleotides) under uncultured bacterium. RNAcentral's name for it is "partial 16S ribosomal RNA". It matches the Rfam family "Bacterial small subunit ribosomal RNA", at positions 30 to 507 of the family's 1533-position model. The record is from RNAcentral.